AACGAACGCUGGCGGCAGGCCUAACACAUGCAAGUCGAACGCUCCGCAAGGGGAGUGGCGCACGGGUGAGUAACACGUGGGAACCUACCUUCUGGUACGGAACAACCAAGGGAAACUUUGGCUAAGACCGUAUACGACCUCCGGGUGAAAGAUUGAUCGCCGGAAGAGGGGCCCGCGUCCGAUUAGGUAGUUGGUGAGGUAACGGCUCACCAAGCCUUCGAUCGGUAGCUGGUCUGAGAGGAUGACCAGCCACACUGGGACUGAGACACGGCCCAGACUCCUACGGAGGCAGCAGUGGGAAUAUUGGACAAUGGGCGCAAGCCUGAUCCAGCCAUGCCGCGUGAGUGAUGAA
RNAcentral lists this ribosomal RNA (352 nucleotides) under uncultured bacterium. Its description in RNAcentral is "bacterial SSU rRNA". It matches the Rfam family "Bacterial small subunit ribosomal RNA", at positions 29 to 412 of the family's 1533-position model. The record is from RNAcentral.